UCCCGGUCUCCCUGGGAGGCGGGUAGGAUUCUGGACCCUGCAGUCAUCCGGCCCUUUCCAUAGGUGUUGCUCAGCCUUGGGAUGUCCUCCUCUCAAAGACGGUGCCUUCUGCUGUUUUUUUACUUUUUGUUUAAUUUUUAUUUUUAUUUAUUCAUGAGAG
This 160-nucleotide long non-coding RNA is filed under the name Canis lupus dingo (dingo). RNAcentral describes it as "ST7 overlapping transcript 4 conserved region 2 (ENSCAFG00020007426.1)". It matches the Rfam family "ST7 overlapping transcript 4 conserved region 2". The record is from RNAcentral. Lineage: Eukaryota; Metazoa; Chordata; Mammalia; Carnivora; Canidae.